Molecule: long non-coding RNA, 1334 nt
Filed under: Prunus persica (peach)
Lineage: Eukaryota; Viridiplantae; Streptophyta; Magnoliopsida; Rosales; Rosaceae
Description: long non-coding RNA (PPER_LNC005849)
Source: RNAcentral
GCAUAUGUGAUAUUAGUUAAGAGUUUUACUUGGUAUUGUAAAACAAUAAUACAAAAAGGAUGCCAACAGAUCUAGAAGAAAACAAAGUCAACGUCCUUAUUGUUUUCCCAAGAAGCAAAGCCUCUCUGUCUGCAGUUUGGCUUGAAAUCGAUUUUUAUUUCUAAUUCUCUCUGGAACUAAGUGUGGAAGGAAGGAACAAAGCUAUACUUUGAGUUGGAAGCUGAUUAUUCUCUCCGAAAUUGAGAGCACCAACACCAGAGCACAGCAUACAGGACCCAAAAUACAGGUUUUACUUCUGCCAUGAUUGAUGCUAAAGUAAUUGCUUUAGAUAUGGAAAUUGAGCCUGUAUUUCUUAAAAAACGUCAAACCUGUAGAAAGAGACAUUUUGAUGAGAUUUCCAAUAAUAAGAGGGAACAACAAUCAUCUAAAGAAUCCUUUAGAACUGAUUACUUUCUUGUCAUAGUGGAUAUUGGUCUUGGUGAAUUGAAAAGUAGGUUUGAACAAUUGCAUAUCUUUGAAUCUAUUUUUGGGUUCUUAUUUGAUGCUGCAAAAUUGACUUCUUUGGAUGAAAAUGAAUUGAGAAGCUCUUGUUUGAAUCUUGAAAAUGCUUUAAAAAAUGACAAUGAUAUUGAUAUUGAUGCAAGAGAUUUAGAGUCAGAAUUACAGGUGUUGCAAGUGAUGUUACCAAGUGAAGCAAUUGAAACAGAUAAACCAUGGACAUCCAUUAAAAUUCUAGAAUUUGUAAAGAGUGUGGAUAUGUUUCCAAAUGUAAUGGUUGCUUAUAGGAUAUUACUGACUAUACCUGUGACUGUGGCAUCUGCUGAAAGAAGUUUUUCUAAAUUAAAAUUAUUAAAAUCUUAUUUGCGGACCACCAUGGCUCAAGAUAGGCUAAAUGGACUAGCUAUAUUAUGCAUUGAAAGAGAUAUGUUGGAAAACAUUAAAUAUGAUAGUAUAAUUGAUGAUUUUGCUUCUAAAACUGCAACAAGAAGACAUUUUAAAUGAUCUUUUGUGAUUAGGAUUUCAUUGCUAUUUUUAUUUUGUAGGUGCAUAUGAAGGUGAAGCAUAGGGACAUGCAAGUUAAUUUGUUGUUGAUUGUAAUGUUUUCAAUCGGGUACUCUUUUUCCUUCGUUUGAGGUUUUAUUCCCAUUGCGAUUUCCUCAAACAAGGUUUUAAUGAGGCCCAAAGUUUUCUAUAUUAUUGGUUGUAAACUCUUAUAAUUUUAAUAAAAUUUAUUAUUUGAUAAAAAAUUGUAAUUAUAUUUAUUUAUUUGUUUAUAAAGGGCACAUUCUUGAACUUUGGCCCUAGGCCUUAAAUCACCCAGGGCCGGCCCUGCC